This 495-nucleotide ribosomal RNA is filed under the name uncultured Glomeromycotina. Its description in RNAcentral is "partial small subunit ribosomal RNA". It matches the Rfam family "Eukaryotic small subunit ribosomal RNA", at positions 591 to 1092 of the family's 1831-position model. The record is from RNAcentral. Lineage: Eukaryota; Fungi; Glomeromycota.
CCAAUAGCGUAUAUUAAAGUUGUUGCAGUUAAAAAGCUCGUAGUUGAAUUUUAGGCCUGACCGGACGGUCCGUCUUUGGCGAGUACUGUUCUGUUGUCGGGUCUAUCCUUCUGGUGAGCCGGUAUGCCCUUUAUUGGGUGUGUCGGUGAACCAGGACCAUUACCUUGAAAAAAUUAGAGUGUUUAAAGCGGGCUUUUGCUUGAAUAGAUUAGCAUGGAAUAAUAGAUUAGGACGUUGGUUCUAUUUUGUUGGUCUAGGACCACCGUAAUGAUUAAUAGGGAUAGUGGGGGGCAUUAGUAUUCAAUUGUCAGAGGUGAAAUUCUUGGAUUUAUUGAAGACUAACUACUGCGAAAGCAUUUGCCAAGGAUGUUUUCAUUAAUCAAGAACGAAAGUUAGGGGAUCGAAGACGAUCAGAUACCGUCGUAGUCUUAACCAUAAACUAUGCCGACUAGGAAUCGGGCGACGUUAUUUUCAUGACUCGCUCGGCGCCUUAUG